RNAcentral lists this non-coding RNA (30 nucleotides) under Mus musculus (house mouse). The record is from RNAcentral. Lineage: Eukaryota; Metazoa; Chordata; Mammalia; Rodentia; Muridae.
UACCCAAGCAGUAUUGGAUAUCAGGUGUCA